CAAAAGGCUCUUUUAAGAGCCACCAAAGUUUCGGAUGAAGGGCUG
Non-coding RNA from Dipodomys ordii (Ord's kangaroo rat), 45 nucleotides. The record is from Rfam. NCBI's taxonomy places the organism in Eukaryota, Metazoa, Chordata, Mammalia, Rodentia, Heteromyidae.